AUGGAUAUUAGGGUACAACUCCGGAUGCAAGUGAUAGCAGAAUACUUUGAAAUAUGGAGGGAAAUCCAGGACAUGCUUUUGCUCUCAGAUGUGGAUGAUUACUUUGAGUGGAGGCUCACUGUCAACAGGAAGUACUCAGCCAGCUCUGCAUAUGAGGCUUUUUCUUUGUCUUUGAGCAAGUGGACAAUACCAGGAACCUGUAGAGAAACAUUGUGCAGCCAAACGAAAAGUUCUACGUUUGCUUGGUGCUUAGGAAUCGAUGCUGGAUGGCUGACUGUUUGGAGUGGCAGGCCCUACCAAGUCCCCUGGUGUGCCCUAUCUGCAAUCAGGCGCCAGAAACGAUUGACCAUCUUUCGUCAAAUGUUCCUACAUGCGGGAGUUUUGGUUCAAGUUCCUCAGGUUGCGAGCGAUGGCUUCACUAACACCAUCAAGCCACACGGUCAGACAAUGGUGGUGCUACAUGCCCAACAGAGUCCAGGGUCCGAGAGUGAGAGAGGCUGCUACUUGGGCUAUUGUGGGGAUGCGAAGGGUUUGGCUUGA
Molecule: ribosomal RNA, 540 nt
Filed under: Triticum aestivum (bread wheat)
Lineage: Eukaryota; Viridiplantae; Streptophyta; Magnoliopsida; Poales; Poaceae
Description: partial small subunit ribosomal RNA
Source: RNAcentral